GGGGCCAGCCCUCCUUCCCUCCUUCGCCCACUGACACUCAUGGCCCUUGGGAGGUGACAUCAUGGCCUAAAAAUAGCUCCCCCACCCCUCCUCCCAGACCCUGUGCUUUUCAGGGACUCCCUCCCCCCUGUUGACAAGGUUUGGGACCUGGGGAGGGUGUUUCUGGAAGAAUAACAUUUCUGUCCUAAGCUGCUUUUUCAAACCUUUCAAGGACAGCACUUACCUCCAACAAGACGUUCAGUGAGAAAAGAGGUGAUUUUUAUGAAGUUUGAACGCUGGAUUCAAAGCCAACCUCAGCCCGAGGCCAAGUUCCUAUCCGUGGAGUGAAGGGAGACCGACCCCACAGGGUGAGGACUUCUGAGGGAAUUUCCAGUCCAGCUCAAAGCUGCAGCACCUCCUGCCAUGGCUCAGGCUGCUGACAGGGUGGGUGAGGCCCUCCUGCGUCUGGGGGAGUGUGUUGAUGUCCCGGAUCGACAAUGAAGCUUUCUGAUGUCUCAGACACCUUCAUCUCCGCUGAGUGACCUCCCUGUCCUGAACUGGUCACAUUGGAGAAACGGGGGAGAUGGGUCGUUGGCAUCGUGGCACUGAAGGUGCGCCUGUGAUCUGCACACAGUUGUCUCUAACGGGAUCGGAACCUUCAGACGCAACAAAGUGACACGUGUCCUCAUGAUGAGGGCGACGCCUUACAGGUAGCGGAAACAAAGGAAGGACCCAGAUUUCCCCAAUAAAGCUCAAAGCUGUUGAUUGCAAUCCAGUUAAAAUCUCCACUGCUAAUUAUUGCCUGGAUUUACUCAGCCGCGAAGCUUCUGAUGUCUGCUGGCUCGAGCGUGAGGUACUCCAUUUUAAUGUUGCAAAACCUCCUAAAUAGCCACAAAGGCAACUGUUUAUCUCAAUCUUCACUUAAAACACCUGCUUACUGAUACUUGAUUAUGUGUUUUGAGGCUUGUGAUUGAGCAUCUAACACCUGGCUGAUUAGGCUGAUGUUUGAUCAUGUCUUGAAAUGCAAUUUUGCCAUUUAGCGUGCACGUCCAUGCUGCAAAGCAUUGAGUGGAUUGCUUGUCCCCAAGCUCUUGUUGUUGUUUUUAAAAAAUAACCAUUACAGAAUAAUGGCUUGUUUUCGUUGAAAGGGAAAUGAAUUUCACAAUUCUUACUCUGUGGUGCAGCCCUGUUCUUUAGGACCACGGGUUUCCCAGUGUGGAACAAGGGAGAGCCUACCUCGCACUCCUACCCUAGACCUGCUGCAUCAGGACCCCUGGCGGUGAGGCCCAGGGAUUGACAUUUGGAGCUGAGGAACUGAGCUUUGAGAGAAGGCAACUUUGCAUUGGCUCCUGGAGGACCAUGGGCAACUUUUCUGGGUAGACUCUUCGGGUUCGUGUCUGCGAAGGCUGUCUGAGGGGAGAGCCCAGGGGUCUUGAUUAUUCUGGGGAGAGCAGGGAGCAGGAGUGAGCGCUCACAUCACUGCCUGCUGGGCCCUGAGCCUCUGCCAGUGGGGCUGAGCGGUUGAGGGGUAUAUGGCGAAGGCCUUGGAAGGGGGCCUGCUUUCCCUCUCAUUUUACGGAUGCGAAAGGGGAAAGGAUGGACCGAAGGCCAUGAAAGAUUUGAAGCUUAGGGGUACCUGGGUGGCUCAGUCAACUAAGCAUCUGCCUUCACCUCAGGUCAUGAUCCCAGGAUCCUGGGCCCCACAUCGGGCUCCCUGCUCAGUGAGGAGUCU
Canis lupus familiaris (dog) is the source of this 1711-nucleotide long non-coding RNA. RefSeq lists it as uncharacterized. The transcript is spliced from 4 exons. NCBI's taxonomy places the organism in Eukaryota, Metazoa, Chordata, Mammalia, Carnivora, Canidae. The record is from RefSeq and is a predicted model, not a curated record.